AUUCAUAAUAACUUAACGAAUCGCAUGGCCUUGUGCGGCGAUGGUUCAUUCAAAUUUCUGCCCUAUCAACUUUCGAUUGUAGAGUAGUGGUCUACAAUGGUUUCAACGGGUAACGGGGAAUUAGGGUUCUAUUCCGGAGAGGGAGCCUGAGAAACGGCUACCACAUCCAAGGAAGGCAGCAGGCGCGCAAAUUACCCAAUCCCGACACGGGGAGGUAGUGACAAUAAAUACUGAUACAGGGCUCUUUUGGGUCUUGUAAUUGGAAUGAGUACAAUUUAAAUCCCUUAACGAGGAACAAUUGGAGGGCAAGUCUGGUGCCAGCAGCCGCGGUAAUUCCAGCUCCAAUAGCGUAUAUUAAAGUUGUUGCAGUUAAAAAGCUCGUAGUUGAACCUUGGGCCUGGCUGGCCGGUCCGCCUCACCGCGUGCACUGGUCCGGCCGGGUCUUUCCUUCUGAGGAGCCGCAUGCCCUUCACUGGGUGUGUCGGGGAAUCAGGACUUUUACUUUGAAAAAAUUAGAGUGUUCAAAGCAGGCCUAUGCUCGAAUACAUUAGCAUGGAAUAAUAGAAUAGGACGUGUGGUUCUAUUUUGUUGGGUUUUCCUGAGGACCGGCCGUAAUUGGAUUAAUAGGGGAUUAGUCCGGAGGGCUUCAGAAUU
Molecule: ribosomal RNA, 654 nt
Filed under: uncultured fungus
Lineage: Eukaryota; Fungi
Description: SSU rRNA
Rfam family: Eukaryotic small subunit ribosomal RNA
Source: RNAcentral